RNAcentral lists this long non-coding RNA (3887 nucleotides) under Sus scrofa (pig). RNAcentral describes it as "lncRNA (ENSSSCG00055009044.1)". Lineage: Eukaryota; Metazoa; Chordata; Mammalia; Artiodactyla; Suidae. The record is from RNAcentral.
GUAGAAACAUCGAUGAGCUGUCUGAAUUUCUAUCUGUUCACCAGGCUUGGCAGCACAAGUCAAGUUGGCAGGUGUCGGGUAAGAUGGGAGGACAGAGUGAGGGACUAGUGCGAUGGGAUUGAGGCCACUCUGAGUGGGAGUAUCUCUUACAUGUAGCAUCAUAGGCUCCUUUGGGACCUGCUCAAGAAAUGUUGGUUGUCCAGUCUUCCUUUCUGAGUUCAGAUUGACAAAUACUUCUCGAGGGCCCACCAGUGCCAAGUGCAGUAAUGGACUUUAGAGAUUAGUGCUGAUACCCCCUGGGUUCCAGUUCCAAUCCCACCCUAGUCACAGAGCUCACCUUCCUUCUUCUGGGUCCCUCUGUGUUGGGAGGACACAGGGUCUUAGGGUCACUUAUUAGCUGCUGGGUGGCCUGGGGUAAGUAGAUGCACUUCUCUGAAUCUUGCUUCCCUCAGUUGCAAAAAAAGGACACUUAGACUCAUGCCUCAUAGAGUUCAGAGGAUUGAGCAUCACAGCCUGAUUUUGCUUUGCUAAAAAGACCAGAUAGAGAAAUUAUAGAGGGGAAAGUGAUGACCAGCCACAAGUUGCCUUUAAUAUCAUCAAUUCUGCUUUUCAUAAAAUUUAUAUCACCCUCCACUAAAAUCAUCUGACAUUAGAUUACAAACUCUGUGUAUCCUUAGCCCUGACCUUCCUUGGUCAAAUGAAUUAUAAAAAGGGCAUUUUUUUUCCCUCCAGGUGGGUGUAGCCAGCAUCCAGAUGUUCUGCUUGGUUGAAGAACAAACUGGAUACCAACUGCUCUUCAGCUGGGCACCUUUGUAUUGUGCACAACCCGCACAACCAUCUAUGGUGACUCCACUAACACCUCACACGGUGCUUGGCCCAGCAUACAUACUUGGUGAUUUUUAGGCUAUUUAGCUGGACUGUGUUUCCCAGCAGUCCUUGCAGGUAGGAGUGGACAUUUGACUAUAUUCUGGUCUAAAUAGAAGAAUGAAAUGUUUUGUAUGUUUUGUGAAACUGCUUUUCUGUUUUUUUUUUGUUUGUUUGUUUGUUUGUUUUUUUUGUUACACCUGUGGCAUAGGAAAGUUCCCAGGCCAGAAACUGUAUCUAAGCUGCUGCAGUCAGAUUCUUAACUCACUGUGCCAUAGUGAGAACUCCUCUUUAGUGCUUUCAAAAGGAAAUUGCCGGCCCUUUCCUUCCUCCUUCCCAUUUCAGGCAGGCUGAAGCCUGGACUUGGGGUUAUACUGAGCCAACUUUGUACCGGCUCUUAACAGCAAGCCUUUAGGGCAUGUCAUACAACAAGAUGAAAAGAGGCUGAGUUACUGGACCACCUUGAGGAAGAGAGCCUUUUGAAUCACUCCGAUGUGAGAGGAAUAAACUGCCUGCCAUGUCCUGGCCAUUAUUAUUUUGGACACUUUUUUUUUUGUCUUUUCUAGGGCCGCACCUGUGGCAUAUGGAGGUUCCCAGGCUAGGGGUCUAAUUAGAGCUGUAGCCGCAGGUCUACGCCAGAGCCAAAGCAACUCAGGAUCCGAGCUGCGUCUGCAAUCUACCACCCACAGCUCAGGGCAACUCCAGAUCCUUAACCCACUAAGAAAGGCCAAGGAUCAAACCCGCAACCUCAUGGUUCCUAGUCGGAUUUGUUAACCACUGAACCACUACGGGAACUCCAGGACACUUUCUUUUCAAAUUUUUUUUCUUUUUUUCUUUUUUCUUUUGCCUCCCCUGCAGCAUUUGGAAGUUUCCGGGCCAGGGAUCAAAUCUGAGCUGACUGCACCAGGGUGGGAUCUAACAGGUGCCUCCACAGCGACAAGCUAGAUCAUUAGCCCACUGAGCCACAGUAGGAACUCCCUAUUUUGGACACUUUCAAAGUAGUCAAACCAAUCUUCUAAUUUCUAUAAUAACAUCUUUGGAAUCAAGGUAAUUUUUGUUAAAUCUUUUUUUUUUUCUUUCUGUGGAUUUAUGCUCAGAUGGUUUCAAAUGAACAACUCUGAGGGCUUGAAGAUACACAAGGCAACAUCCUUUACCUUGGUGAGUUCACAGUAGCAUGGAAGCAUUUGUAACAUGCAUAAAUGGUGAAUGUAAACAACAAUAGAACAAUAGAAACCAGAGAUUCAAGUAGAAUUUUGUGGGGAGCAAAGGAGGGCUCAGGGAAGACUGAGCAGAGAUAGAAUGGGCAUGAAUUAGAAAAACCACUUGCCAGCAUAGGGAAGUAAUAUAAUUUCUUAUGCUAUUUUAUAUAUUUUAUGUAAUAUCUUUUGUGCCUUGAUAAUAUGGAGUUAAUGUCAAAACCUUUUUAUUUUGAAAUGAUCCUAGAGUAACAGAAUAAUUCAAAGGAGUACAGAGAAUACCUCUAUACUCUUCACCCAGCUAGCCCUAAAUGCUAACCUAUGAUACAAUGAAAUUAACUACAAUUUAGUCCAAUACUAUUAAACUCCAGAUUUCACCAGUUUUUCCUCAAAAAAAAAUUUUUUUUUUUUUUUUCAGUUCUGGGAUCCAAAGCAGGAUCCAGAAUCACACUUAAUCUUGAGCUUCUCAGAUCCUUCUGGGCCAAAUUUAGAGCACAGGCCAUUCACAGACCAUUCUCCAGUCCAUCUGAGGUUAAGAACAUUGAAAUGAGAGCCUCAAAGUGCCAGUUCCAGGACUGGAUCAGUCAUUAAUGAAAAGCUAGGCCUGUCCAGUGGAUGGUUGUGGGGAUCAAACUUGAAAGCACUCUGCAAAUGAUGGAGAACUCUCCUUUAGUGAGAUCAUUUAUUCAUUCAUCAAUCACCCAGAAAACCUUUCUUGAGUGCCAGCCACAUCUGAGACACUGGGUUAGGCACAGGCCCACAUAGCUCAUGCUUCUCAGACCUAGCAGGUCUGGUCUUGCAAAGCCGACCAUUAAGUAUUUAUCAAAUACCUACCAGGGCCUAUGACACUAAUGAUGGGCUUACCAUCAGAGUGUAUGCCAUGAAUAUUCCAUUUUGGGCCAGAGAGAGUUAACGUGCUGUCUCUGCCUCCCUGAUGCCUGGAGAGCCCACAUCACUCAGUGAAGACUACGGAUGCAUUAGGCUCAAUGUAUGUAUUUUCUUUUCCUCUCUGUUUAUGUCUCUGUUUUCUGUAAAGUCUCCUAAACUGCAGCAGUAUCUACCAAGUUCUCUGACAGUGCUAUAAAUUUCAUUAAGAAGAUGAAGCCUUAUGGGGCAAUUAACUCCAAAAGUGGUACAGAGCAAUAGCAGGAGAUACUGGCCUGUAGUACUUAGCACUUAGCUCUGAAAUUGAGAUAAGCCCUAUCAACUCGGGGUUGUGUUUAAUGUUCACUGCCGCUUCCACACCACAGCUACAACCCAGCGGUCACUGUGUUAACACUCCCCAAUAUCUAUUACAAUUAGUUUUUGAUUAAGAGGCCUAACAUGGCUUUUGAAGCCUUUUAUGUUGUGUCAAAUGGCUAGUGAUGGAGUGAGAUGGUCGGACACCUCCCAGUAACAAAGCAUCUUGUAAAAGGUUUCAAGUGAACUAUUUUAUCAUCCUAAUGGAAACCAGAUGACUCUAACUCCCCCCUUAAUUUCAACUAUUUACUGAAGAGUCCUUGUUUUGAAUUACUUAAAGAUUUAUUCUUAAACGACGACCUCAUGCAUCAAGAAUUGCUAAUAACAGAGCCAUUUGGAAUUUGGGAAAGCUUUUAAAGAUGACGGAGGCGAUUUUCACAGAGGGUUUAUUUUAUUUUAUUAUUUCUUUUGAUUUUUAAAGGAGCAAAUGCCUUUGCCCUUUUCUGGUAUUUAAUUAUUACUUUAAUGAUCGUUUGAGGAGGCUUUUCUCUGAGUUGUGCUUUCUCUGACGGGGUUUUAGUUCAUAGUCUUGGCCUAUUUUCUAAGAGUGAGGUUUCGGGUACUUUGUGAAAAAAAAAAAAAAAAAAA